This 253-nucleotide long non-coding RNA is filed under the name Physcomitrium patens. Its description in RNAcentral is "long non-coding RNA (PPAT_LNC004105)". The record is from RNAcentral. Lineage: Eukaryota; Viridiplantae; Streptophyta; Bryopsida; Funariales; Funariaceae.
UUGAUUAAGGAGGGAUUACCAUCUAUGCUAAAACAAUGAUUUGGAACAAUCAUUUAUGUUGCCUACAAAUUUUUCUUAUUUAUACUCAGAAGGCAUAUUUUUUUUAUAUAUGUUUGUAUAUACACUUUUUAUAACUGUUUGAUUAAUUUAUGGUAAAAAUAAAAUAAAAUAAACUAGAAUUCAUAGAUUUUGAUUGCUAAGUCUUAAGUUGUUAGCGAUGAACUUUGAAAAGUCAAUCGUUGUAUUCAAUAAU